CAUUGUAGUAAGAUGCAAUUUAAACCUGGUUAUACUACUAACACUUUGACUGGAAUGUCUUGUUUUCAGAUAUAGUCAAAUAUGUCACUAGCUUUAAGGCACAGACUGACUAUAUAAUACAAGCCCAGUAGAAAUUACCUCACAUCUGAUCUGCAUGAUUCCCUUACAGGGUUUCUGACCUUGCAGUAAGUAAAGAAUGUUCAUUUUUGAGAAGCCCAGGAAAUACCUACUUUUGAAGGACACCUUGAGGAGACAGCAAUUCAUCCAAAAUGUGGAGUUUUCUGAAACUGUGGCACGAACUGUAUGACUACAAAAUGGAAGGAUGUUAUCUACACCUGCCAUGUUUUUAUAGUUCUGAAAAAUGUUUUAAAAGGCUCAAAUAUGGUUCAGGCUAGCCUUGAACCCAGGUGUGCCUUGAACUGACAGAAUCCUCUUACCUCAGUCUCCAAGUGCUGGAAAUACAGACAAGUGUCACCAAGCCCAGUUUCAUUCAUUCUUUGAACAUCAAAUUCUUAACAAUGUAUUGUGGAAAAUUUGCAGUAUAUGAAUUCAUAAGGACUGACAUAUAAAAUGAACUAAGAAUUCUACACAUAUGAGCUUUGAAGAAGAAAGAAACAGUAGAG
This 623-nucleotide long non-coding RNA is filed under the name Heterocephalus glaber (naked mole-rat). RNAcentral describes it as "lncRNA (ENSHGLG00000043809.1)". The record is from RNAcentral. Lineage: Eukaryota; Metazoa; Chordata; Mammalia; Rodentia; Bathyergidae.